This is an RNA transcript of Manihot esculenta (cassava), 2453 nucleotides long. It is a transcript of the gene named proteasome subunit alpha type-6-like, with no coding region annotated. The transcript has 5 exons. The record is from RefSeq and is a predicted model, not a curated record. Lineage: Eukaryota; Viridiplantae; Streptophyta; Magnoliopsida; Malpighiales; Euphorbiaceae.
AGGAACCGAGGACCCCAGCAGUGAGUCAGCUGCUCCAGUGUCUGGUCAGAGCUAUCCAGAGCUGAUAGAAGGACUUUGGUUCAACAAGCACGGAAUGAGACAGCUGAGGUUCAGUUCAAAUGAGGAUAUGGACAGCCUGUGGAUGUAUUUGUCCAAAUGGACUUAAAGUUAUAUCCUGGGUGCAUACAUAGGAUUGCAGAUAAAUCACAGGUUUACACGCAGGGUGCUCACAUGAGACCCCUUGGAGUAGUUGCUCUGGUUUUGGGUAUUGAAGAGGAGAAUGGGCCUCAACUUACAAGUUUAGCUGGCCAUUUUUAUGGUCAUAAGGUAUGUGGCAAACUGUUUUUUUUUUUUGGCCAAAAUGCAUUAAGUUACUGAUGUUUAUGAUAUCUGUAAUGAUUGAGAAUUGAAAGGUAAGCGUACAUGAGAGCUCAUAAUUAUCUGGGGUGGGUUUCUGUAGAUAGUUCAUCAUAAGAAUCUGCUUAUCCUUUGCUCUGCUUUUGAAUCACCCCCAAGAAUGUUUUCCACUGGGUUCUCAAGCAUCUGGUUUUUUCGGAAUUCGCUAUUUGGAUUAUAAAUUGAUGGGAUCUUGCUGAAGGACCUUCUAUUAGUAAGAUAACUCUAGCCAUUCUCGAUGCAACAACAAGACAAGUUCAUAGAAGCUGUUUUGAAAAUAUAAGGUGAAAUAUGUAAGAAAAAAAAUGAUGUACUAAUUUAAUCUCAAACCAGUAGAAAAAGUUGCCGGUUACCAGUGGUCGUUUAAAGUGCUAUAUAUUACAGUUGAAGAUGCUCCUUAUAUGUCAAAAAUUAGUUAAUUAUCAUAUUCAUUUAUUUUAACUUCCCAUUGAAUGAAAUUCCAAGGGAACUUUGUGCUCAAGGGUCUUGAUUUUAAUACAUGUUGCCGGCUAGCAGCUGUGUUUUAUUAAAAGAACAAGAAGCUAUCAAUUUCUUGGAAAAGAAUGAAAAAUGACCCUGCUUUCUCCUGUGAGGAAACAGUGCAGGUACGUGUAUCUCUUCCCAUUUGUUGAAUAGGAAUUUGCUGGAGGGAAUUUUGUUUGGGUUAAUUACAAAAAGAAAAGGCGUGAACUUUAUUUCAAUUCUCUAUUAUAGCCUAUAUCUUGAAAGUAGUCAAUUAUGCUUCUAGUUGUUGGAAUUGUUUCCAGGUCAGCAAAAUUCAUUAGCAACAUGUGAAAUAACACAUAAAUGAUAAAUGGAGAAAUUAAGCAUGUAUUUUAAUGAUAUUGCAUAUAUUCUCAUUGAUGUACUUGCCUAAUAUCAAUAACUUUAUCCUUAUGUUGUUAUUCUUCUAUAAUAACCAUAUUAGUAAUAAAUAAAAAGAUUUAGAUGACUUGGCUAUUGCUGAUAUUUUCAAAGUUUGGGUUCUGCUUAUGGAUAAAGCGUAGGCUGUCCUGUUUAUUUGGAUUUUUAUUACAAAGCUUAAAAUUGGAGAAAGAGGAAGGGAGAGAGUUAUUUCAUUUGACGGGAAGUUAAUUCUAUUUUCAAGCCAUUAUCAAUUUUUGCAAAAAUAUUUUUGGACGUAUUUUACCUAAAACUGUUAAUUGCAAUUUUGUAUUCUAUUUGUGCCUUGGUGUAAGGGACUCUUGGUUUAGACAAUGUACUGCAACUGUAUGUUUUUGUCAACUGUUUGAUAUAUUCUGCCUAAGCGUUUUUUUCUAUUUUGAAUUCUUAUGAGUUCCUUAUUUUGCCAGUCACAUAGAUUAAUUGUAUGCAGAGAGGAAACGCUCUUAACUUUUCAACUGAGGAAGUUCUUUCAUUUUCUUUUGUCCUGAGUUUGAAGGUGGGGAUUAAUGUAAAAUUUAACUAAAUAAAAGUUUACAGGCAGAUGAUUAGUUCAACAUUCUGGAUUAUCUGAUUUCCUCAGCUGCUUGAUAAAUUCAUGCAUAGAAAUAUUAGUGCAAAUUAGUGCAAACCUGCGAGGCCUCUUUUGAAAGAUUUUUUUUUUUGUUUCCCUAUUUUUUCACAGGUUUUUGGCAUGUUCUAAAAUUGAUUCAGUAUUUUUAGAUAUCCUAAUAAUGCAUGUGCUACUGUCAUGCAUUGCAGACUGCUAUUUCUGCUCUACAAACUAUUCUUCAGGAGGACUUCAAGGCUGGAGAUUUGAGGCAUUAAUGUUUCCCUAUAUCAUGUUCAAUAGUUGCUGGUGAUGGUAUCAGAAUGACUGAAAAUGAAAGAUGCUAAUAUAAAUAUUUUAUUGUGUUCACCAUCAAAGGUCGGAGUUGUGAGAGCCGAUAAUCGAGGUUUCAGAGUAUUGUCAACUGAGGAGAUUGAUGAACAUUUGACGGGAACAUGACUGAUUUUAUGCGGUAAGCAGAGGUACUUGCAUUGACGAUCCACAGUGGGGCCAUGGCCCUCGAAAAUGUAUUUUCUAGGUCUGUAUAGAUAAUUUUUCUUCGAUUUUAAAUAAAUAAAAGAAAAAUUAUUAUUAAAUUUUUAAA